AUUGAACGCUGGCGGCAUGCCUUACACAUGCAAGUCGAACGGCGGCGGGGGAGAAGCUUGCUUUUCCUGCCGGCGAGUGGCGAACGGGUGAGUAAUACAUCGGAACGUGCCCUGUAGUGGGGGAUAACUAGUCGAAAGAUUAGCUAAUACCGCAUACGACCUGAGGGUGAAAGUGGGGGACCGCAAGGCCUCAUGCUAUAGGAGCGGCCGAUGUCUGAUUAGCUAGUUGGGGGGGUAAAGGCCUACCAAGGCGACGAUCAGUAGCUGGUCUGGGAGGACGAUCAGCCACACUGGGACUGAGACACGGCCCAGACUCCUACGGGAGGCAGCAGUGGGGAAUUUUGGACAAUGGGCGAAAGCCUGAUCCAGCAAUGCCGCGUGUGUGAAGAAGGCCUUCGGGUUGUAAAGCACUUUUGUCCGGAAAGAAAUGGCUCUGGUUAAUACCUGGGGUCGAUGACGGUACCGGAAGAAUAAGGACCGGCUAACUACGUGCCAGCCGCCGCCGUAA
Molecule: ribosomal RNA, 508 nt
Filed under: uncultured bacterium
Lineage: Bacteria
Description: partial 16S ribosomal RNA
Rfam family: Bacterial small subunit ribosomal RNA
Source: RNAcentral